This 751-nucleotide ribosomal RNA is filed under the name Streptomyces sp. Its description in RNAcentral is "bacterial SSU rRNA". It matches the Rfam family "Bacterial small subunit ribosomal RNA", at positions 85 to 848 of the family's 1533-position model. The record is from RNAcentral. Lineage: Bacteria; Bacillati; Actinomycetota; Actinomycetes; Kitasatosporales; Streptomycetaceae.
GGGUGGAUUAGUGGCGAACGGGUGAGUAACACGUGGGCAAUCUGCCCUUCACUCUGGGACAAGCCCUGGAAACGGGGUCUAAUACCGGAUAAUACUCCUGCCUGCAUGGGCGGGGGUUGAAAGCUCCGGCGGUGAAGGAUGAGCCCGCGGCCUAUCAGCUUGUUGGUGGGGUAAUGGCCCACCAAGGCGACGACGGGUAGCCGGCCUGAGAGGGCGACCGGCCACACUGGGACUGAGACACGGCCCAGACUCCUACGGGAGGCAGCAGUGGGGAAUAUUGCACAAUGGGCGAAAGCCUGAUGCAGCGACGCCGCGUGAGGGAUGACGGCCUUCGGGUUGUAAACCUCUUUCAGCAGGGAAGAAGCGAAAGUGACGGUACCUGCAGAAGAAGCGCCGGCUAACUACGUGCCAGCAGCCGCGGUAAUACGUAGGGCGCAAGCGUUGUCCGGAAUUAUUGGGCGUAAAGAGCUCGUAGGCGGCUUGUCACGUCGGAUGUGAAAGCCCGAGGCUUAACCUCGGGUCUGCAUUCGAUACGGGCUAGCUAGAGUGUGGUAGGGGAGAUCGGAAUUCCUGGUGUAGCGGUGAAAUGCGCAGAUAUCAGGAGGAACACCGGUGGCGAAGGCGGAUCUCUGGGCCAUUACUGACGCUGAGGAGCGAAAGCGUGGGGAGCGAACAGGAUUAGAUACCCUGGUAGUCCACGCCGUAAACGUUGGGAACUAGGUGUUGGCGACAUUCCACGUCGUCGGUGCCG